GAUAGCGAACCAGUACCGUGAGGGAAAGGUGAAAAGCACCCUGAUUAAGGGAGUGAAAGAGUUCCUGAAACCGUACGCCUACAAGCGGUCGGAGCAGCAAUAUGCUGUGACGGCGUGCCUUUUGCAUAAUGAGCCUACGAGUUGUCGUUUUUGGCAAGGCUAAGGACAAUGAUGUCCGGAUCCGUAGCGAAAGCGAGUCCGAAAAGGGCGUUAAGUCAUGGGCGGCAGACGCGAAACCAAGUGAUCUACCCUUGUCCAGGUUGAAGUCCCGGUAACACGGGAUGGAGGACCGCACCGAUAAGCGUUGAAAAGCUUCCGGAUGAGAUGAGGGUAGGAGUGAAAGGCCAAUCAAACUUGGAGAUAGCUCGUACUCCCCGAAAUGCAUUUAGGUGCAGCCUCGGAUGUUUGCUGUAAGAGGUAGAGCGACUGAUCGGACGCGAGGGCUUCACCGCCUGUCAAGUCCGGACAAACUCCGAAUGCUUACAGCUUAAGUCCGGGAGUGAGGGACGGGGUGCUAAGGUCCCGUCCCGAGAGGAGAAGAAUCCAGACCGCCGGCUAAGGUCCCGAAGUGUAGGUUAAGUUAGUCUAACGCAGUGUGGCCCCCAAGACAGCUAGGAUGUUGGCCCGGAAGCAGCCAUUCAUUCAAAGAGUGCGUAACAGCUCACUAGUCGAGGGGCUGCGCGUGGAUGAUAAUCGGGUAUGAAAUCUACCACCGAAGCCACGGAAUCCAUUAUGGAUUGGUAGGGGAGCAUUGCCGUUGCGUUGAAGAUAUGAGGACAACUUGUAUUGGAGCGACGGGAAAAGCAAAUGUAGGCAUAAGUAACGAGAAAGAGGGUGUGACUCCCUCUCGCCGUAAGGUCAAGGUUUCCCGGGCAACGUUCGUCGCCCCGGGGUUAGUCGGGUCCUAAGGCUCAGCCGCAAGGCGAGGUCGAUGGCAAUGCGUUUAAUAUUCCGCAACUGUCUUUAAGAGCGAUGUGGUGACGGAGAAGUGACACUUCCGCGUCCUGACGGAAAAGGACGUUUAACGACAAAGGCGUUGAUGAUUACAGGCAAAUCCAUAAUCAGAGCUGAAGUCGGAAAGUACGAAAGGCCUUCGGGCUGCUCGAGUGAAGGUAAUCCGGCUCCCAAGAAAACCCGCUAGCAUUAUUUUAAAGACACCCGUACCGUAAACGGACACACGUAACCGCGUAGAAUAUACUAAGGCGCUCGGAAGAUUCAUGGUUAAGGAACUAGGCAAAUUGACCCCGUAACUUCGGGAUAAGGGGUCCUCAUAGUGAUAUGAGGCGCAGAGAAUAGGUCCAGGCAACUGUUUAACAAAAACACAGGGCUGUGCUAAGUCGAAAGAUGCUGUAUACAGUCUGACACCUGCCCGGUGCCGGAAGGUCAAGAGGAGAGCUUAGACUUUCGUCGAAGGUUUGAAUUGAAGCCCCGGUAAACGGCGGCCGUAACUAUAACGGUCCUAAGGUAGCGAAAUUCCUUGUCGGGUAAGUUCCGACCUGCACGAAU
This 1506-nucleotide ribosomal RNA is filed under the name human oral metagenome. Its description in RNAcentral is "bacterial LSU rRNA". It matches the Rfam family "Bacterial large subunit ribosomal RNA", at positions 486 to 1997 of the family's 2925-position model. The record is from RNAcentral.